This is a long non-coding RNA of Aplysia californica (California sea hare), 427 nucleotides long. RefSeq lists it as uncharacterized. The transcript has 2 exons. The record is from RefSeq and is a predicted model, not a curated record. NCBI's taxonomy places the organism in Eukaryota, Metazoa, Mollusca, Gastropoda, Aplysiida, Aplysiidae.
AUCUACUUAUAGAAAGAACAACAACCAAAAUCUGUAGUAUGAAAACAGCAUAAAGAGAAUAUUUUUGUUUAGACAUUUACCAGUCGGGCAAGGCAAAAGCAAAUAUCACUUUACCCACCCACCAGAAGUUUUAUGGCACUUACAUAACCAAAAUUGAGUCGAUAGUGCCGUACAACACCUACUCAAUCAAACCAGAAGCUUUUGUUUUAGCAGAGGUUUUGCGGCGCUGGCAAUUGCAUAACACCCACCCGAAGCACAUCCUGGUGUGACGAAAUUCUGUCGCUUAAAUUAUUUUUAGUUUGGGAGGGGUGGAUUUGUUGAGAGCCAGACACGACAGAGCCUUAUUAUGUCAAAUAGAGCUGGGCUGCCUGAGACCUGACAGACACAACAACACAGAGAGAGAGAGAGAGAGAGACAGAGGACCAAG